RNAcentral lists this ribosomal RNA (497 nucleotides) under uncultured bacterium. RNAcentral's name for it is "partial 16S ribosomal RNA". It matches the Rfam family "Bacterial small subunit ribosomal RNA", at positions 28 to 507 of the family's 1533-position model. The record is from RNAcentral.
GAUGAACGCUGGCGGCGUGCCUAAUACAUGCAAGUCGAGCGAACAGAUGAGGAGCUUGCUCCUCUGACGUUAGCGGCGGACGGGUGAGUAACACGUGGAUAACCUACCUAUAAGACUGGGAUAACUUCGGGAAACCGGAGCUAAUACCGUAUAAUAUAUUGAACCGCAUGGUUCAAUAGUGAAAGACGGUUUUGCUGUCACUUAUAGAUGGAUCCGCGCCGCAUUAGCUAGUUGGUAAGUUAACGGCUUACCAAGGCAACGAUGCGUAGCCGACGUGAGAGGGUGAUCGGCCACACUGGAACUGAGACACGGUCCAGACUCCUACGGGAGGCAGCAGUAGGGAAUCUUCCGCAAUGGGCGAAAGCCUGACGGAGCAACGCCGCGUGAGUGAUGAAGGUCUUCGGAUCGUAAAACUCUGUUAUUAGGGAAGAACAAAUGUGUAAGUAACUAUGCACGUCUUGACGGUACCUAAUCAGAAAGCCACGGCUAACUACGUG